This 460-nucleotide ribosomal RNA is filed under the name uncultured bacterium. Its description in RNAcentral is "partial 16S ribosomal RNA". It matches the Rfam family "Bacterial small subunit ribosomal RNA", at positions 338 to 795 of the family's 1533-position model. The record is from RNAcentral.
CCUACGGGAGACUGCAGUGAGGAAUAUUGGUCAAUGGCCGGAAGGCUGAACCAGCCAUGCCGCGUGAAGGUCAGUGCCCUAUGGGCGUUAAAACUCUUUUGUGCGGGAGCAAUAAUGGUCACGUGUGGCCAGACGAGAGUACCGUACGAAUAAGCAUCGGCUAACUCCGUGCCAGCAGCCGCGGGAAUACGGGGGAUGCAAGCGUUGUCCGGGUUUAUUGGGUUUAAAGGGUGCGUAGGCUGGGAGGUUAGUCAGCGGUGAAAUGCCCCCGCUCAAAGGGGUGAAGUGCCAUUGAUACUGCCGUGCUGGAGUGCAGAAGCGGUAGGAGGAAUGUGUGGUGUAGCGGUGAAAUGCAUAGAUAUCACACAGAACACCGAUUGCGAAGGCAGCUCACGAGACCGCGAUUGACGCUGAUGCACGAAAGCGUGGGUAUCAAACAGGAUUAGAUACCCCAGUAGUC